Molecule: long non-coding RNA, 1329 nt
Organism: Rhipicephalus sanguineus (brown dog tick)
Lineage: Eukaryota; Metazoa; Arthropoda; Arachnida; Ixodida; Ixodidae
Exons: 3
Source: RefSeq, a predicted model, not a curated record
CAGAGGUGGUGUGUGCGUGUAGUUUCGUGUUUGGCAGUUUUAGGGGGGCUUUGCCUUUUAACAACAUUUCGCGUCGCCCUUUUUCCACGUGUGUGCCAAGAUGUCAUGGAACAAUGGUAGCAACAUGAGAUACCGGAGUUCUGUUCAUCUCACGGAAAUUAAUCUUAUCUGAUUGAUACUAGUACAUUGCACGUACAGGAAAAUGAACAAAGAAUGGCAUAAAUAAUGCUCUUCACCACACCUUUCGAGCUGGGGCCAUUUCCUCAAGAAAUACCGAGCGAGGGAAGCCAUCCACUGGAGCAUCACACGUACUGUGACACCAUUGCUACAUGGAUGAGCAAGACAAAGAACAGGCGAUUGUACAAUUGCAGCUACUGUGGAAAAGUGUUCCCGCACAAGUAUGGCCUGGCCAAACACGUGCGUAUUCAUACCGGCGAGAGACCAUACUCCUGCCACCUCUGCCCUAUGACAUUCAACCAGAAAGAGAGCCUCACACGCCACUUACGAGAGCAUUCCGGUGACAAGCCAUUUCGUUGUUGCUUCUGCCCAAAGGCAUUCACCAGGCAGUAUUAUAAAAGAAGACAUGAGGCGGCACAUACAGGGUCUGCUUCUCGUAUUGUAAGGCCCAAUGUGUCUUAGCAACAUUCAUGAGAUGAGCAUUUGAUAAGUGGGUGUACAGCAGGUGUUUCAAACUGAGAAAAAAAGUAUAUUGUUUUGGGACCGAAGCAUGUCAUUUUGUUCAGUUUCACUUCCACUUUGCAGCAAUGGAAGUCUAGUGGCUUUUGAACCAGUUUGCUACACCAAACAGGUUCACAAACUGGUCUGGCACAGUAAACCUUACUUUUGACAAGUUGCAUAGUGCUGUCCACCAACUUAAGUGUGCUAAGCUGAAGCAGUGCAGGCAUCACUGCUCAAGCAACUGCGCUCGUAGUUUAACAGGACUUGGCUCGUAAUUUUCAAUUUAACUUUCUUUUCAUGUCCACUCGAGUGUUGCCCAAAUGCAUGGCGCAGGUGAAACAGUAGAGGUUCAUAUGAGUGUUCAAAGAGCUAAGUUUUCAAGGCAGGUUGAAUAGAAAUUUUAAAGAACUAUCAUUCAAUAUGAAUUGAAAUGAAAUAAAAAUUUAAGGCUGUACAAUGUUUAGCAACAAAUAACCCCACAUCAUUUCAUAUAUGUACAUCACGCGAUAAUGCAGGUUUAUGUAUGGUGAAGGAUCACAUUGAACAAUGAUGAAAUGAGUGAACAAAGAGAAAAAGAACAACAGAAAGAAACACAGAAACUGACUCUGCAGGUGACCGUGGCACAGUAUGUCCUCACAUGUCUAAAGCUAU